Long non-coding RNA from Gallus gallus (chicken), 2096 nucleotides. The record is from Ensembl. Lineage: Eukaryota; Metazoa; Chordata; Aves; Galliformes; Phasianidae.
CCCGACCCGGCGUGCGGUAGGCGUCGGGGCUCCGAGGUCCCCGGCGAAAGUUUGGCGGGGCGGGGCGCGCUCGCAGAGAGACAAAAGAAGCGCGGAACGGAGCGGCAACUCACCUUGGAGGGAGGGAGAGAGUGAGGGAGGCUGCAAGGGGACCUUCUGCCUCCCUCCUCCUCCUCGUCCCGUGGGCGCGGGGCCGCGCUGCCGGGGAUAGGAGCAAGACUCCAGAGCAAAGCUGUUCCUGACCCUAGGCAUCCCUACACCAGCAAGACCUUGUGCCCUGUGUCAGAUCUUCUGGGAGAGCCGGACUGCAUGGACUCAGGGCUGCAGCCUUUAAGAGGAAGAAGAUGGAUGACAGACUUCUCCCUGCUACCCCACCAGAGGCCAUGCAAGUGGAAAGAACCUUCCCCUAGCCCCAGGCUGACAGAGCUAUCAGAGGGAAUCUUUGCAAAUUCAGCACAUACCAAACAAUGGGGAUUUUCCUCUGUGUGAUGAGACAUACUCCUGAUCACAGCCCUGGCAAGUCAGUUCCAUUCUGCUGCUUUCAUUCUGGCCAGCUGGUAUCAGCCUCCUGCAUCUCCAAGUCUUAUGAGUUUGACCCUUUUCCUGUGGAAUUAGGUAUGACAAAAAUACCUGUCAUUGUGAAGGACAACAGAAUAUAACUUGUUUUUGCGAGAAAUACCAGGGUCACUCUAAGCUCAGAAAUACUGUGGCAGCUCCAGUAAAACCAGCAAAGUAAAUAUAGACACAAGAUAAACUAUCUGGUCUUCCCUUUGCCUGUGACCUCUAUUACUUUCCCUGUUUCUCUGACUAUAACCUCAGUAAGUGUAUUUUUGAUCCUUCAGUUAAUAUGAUUAUCAGGCUUCACACUGCCACUGCUCUCAAAUUUUCCAGAUGGCAUUUCAUCUGGAAAGUUACAACCCUGUUCUGCUUGUUAUUUAUUUAACAACUGUGCUUUUGACUAAUACAGAAUACUCUCAGUAACAGAUCUAUAUUAAUCAAAGUUCAGAUAUUCAGUGUUAGCAAUUUAUUUUGAUUUUGUCACCAUUUACACAAAGUUAUUUACCUACGCCUCUAGCAUUUUUCAAAGGACUCUGUUGCUUUAAUACACACUUACUAAAAUACAAACUGUACUUAAAGCCAUUCUCUGGAGGAGUCCCCGUCCUGAAUGAAGUUCUGUGGCACAACUGAACUACAUGAAAUGACAGUGGCAGUCUCCUAAGGGUGAAUUUACCUCUGUGUUAAUGAAUGAAUGGAAUAGACAUACGGAGUCUCAGUGAGAUAGUCCUUAUGCUCCCUCAGGGAAGUUGAGGUGCUACGUUGAUAAUUGAACACUGGUAAAAGACAGAGUUAGAUUAUUUUUCUUAAACCCACGAUUUUGCAGUAGGGAUUCAGUCCAUCUUCCAGUGGAAUGUCUGAAAAAGUUUCAUAGACACCAGAACUGAUAUUGCCUGUCACUAUACAAACCGAAAACCGCUUCGUCACUCUAUAAAUGGAAGCUCCAGCCACACUAUAGCAAGCACCAAUGCAAGUGAAUUUAUGCACAAAUGUAACUACCAGAUUUAAGCUAAAUUUUGAGAGACCAGAUCAAGAAGGGUGCAAGCUCCAAAGGCAACAACUUGAAACUCUAACUUAGCUCUAACCCCUUUCUUCACCUUCUUUUCUCUGCGUAGUGUCAUUUUUAACAAAAUGUGCCAAAUUACAAGUCAUAAAAGCUCAAGUAUGUAAGCUGCAAAUCUGGUGCUUUCCACAAGGCCAGAAGUGUCAUGAAAGAAAAACGCCAUCCAUAAUAUGGGACUGUUUGGAAUCAGAUUAGAGAGACCUAGAAUUCGUCAGCAACUUCUGCCCAUAAGGUCAAAUUAUGAAGUCUGUACUUACUACAUAUAAACACACUCCAUUUCCAGAUUCUGCCCCCCACAGACACAGCAUAAUCUAUGACGUCCAUCAGUCAUCAGCUAGUUUAUAUCAGACUCCUACUAUACCUACAUAAAUAUGUUGAAUAUUUGGAAUAAUACAUUCACAAAGCAAUGAUCAUAUUUAUUUAUAUUUUACAAAGAGAAAAAAAAAUGUGAGAGAGUAAAGAUAGGCUGCCUUCAUAG